Molecule: small RNA, 746 nt
Filed under: Rattus norvegicus (Norway rat)
Lineage: Eukaryota; Metazoa; Chordata; Mammalia; Rodentia; Muridae
Description: uncharacterized LOC108351747
Source: RNAcentral
ACUUAUAUCAUAUGUCUAAGCCAGCAAUAAGUGGUAAACAUGACUUCACCCUUGACUUAAUGAGCCCACACUUUUGUGGAAGAAAAAUUUGCACAAAUACAUUUAACUUUAUGACCUUGAUAGACGUCAUAAGGUACUCACAAAAAUGCCAAAGUAGUUUUCAUGCAUUCUCUCAAGUCUUCUCAAUUUCUCUAUCUACUUGGACAAGAUGAUGAAGAAACUAAGGAUCGUAGAUAUUAGAGGCUUUCCAAAGGUCAGCAUCACUAUCAAGAAUGGAUAUAACGGGACAGAACUCAGGCAUCAAUAUCCAAGUGAGGAAAUCAUUGAAAGUCUAGGGCUAUGGGAUGAGAGAAGGCCAUUGCAUUUUACAACAUACCAUCCAAUCCAAGUCUGCGACAUGUGGUUUUGAACCACUCUGAGUCUGAAUUUCCAGCAAAAUUAAGAAGGCAAUAGAAGAAGUGAUCAGAAGAUGUAAUUAUGGAAGCAACCAUAAAAUGGAAGAUGCAUCAUGGGAAAUACAAAGAACUGACUGCUGGUCAUGGAAAUUGAAAUUGUAGACUUCCUCAGAUUUCCUCCAUUACUUCUUGAUGGCCAAAAACAUGAAGAAAGAAAUCUGAACUCUCUGUGCCAGACUCUGUGUUAGCUCUUGAGAUAUAUUAUCUUCUAAUAUCUUAAGAAGACAUAAAUCAAGAAUGUUAACACAAACCUGCAAAGAUCCAGUACUAACACUGAACACUAGCUGGGUC